Molecule: long non-coding RNA, 1428 nt
Filed under: Anser brachyrhynchus (Pink-footed goose)
Lineage: Eukaryota; Metazoa; Chordata; Aves; Anseriformes; Anatidae
Description: lncRNA (ENSABRG00000020902.1)
Source: RNAcentral
UGACACAGCAACACGGACCAGCCUCAGACAUCAGUCUGUAAGGUGACAAACCCCUGUAUGCAAUGACGUUUUUCCUUAGCGUACAUCAAGAACUGUAUGGGAACGCUGCUGAAACAUUUUCAACAUCCUCAUUUAGCAAAUAGCUAGAGGCAGAUGAACCAGCUAUUAUCUGCCACUGAAUGAAGGCUGCAAGAUGAAACAAAAAUAGCCUGUCGGGGUUCCAGGCGUACAUUUCCUAUUGUGUUUGUGCUCAGCAACAGCAGAGAAAAAACCACAGAUGGCACGCUAGCCUUUUGUAAUCAGCUAAUGGACAUCAGUAAUGUAUAGCCAUCAGAAACCUGUCUUGAAUAUGCCUGGGAUAUGCUUGGGGAGGCAGAGCAUCUUGUGUCUCAGCUAAUUGCACGUAAACCGUCGACAUUUAAGAACUGCGUUUGCAGGGCAGCUGGACCACGGGAAGAUUUUUGCGCUAUAAGCUGAAGCAAAUCAGCUCAACUUGAGGAAUCUCUGCACAUAAAUUGUGGGUGAACACCAAAAGCACCGGAUGAAGGUGGUUAUUUGAGCCAAAAGGGGUGAUUCAGCUUGUUAACGGAUUAAUCCAGCUCCUUUUUAAUUAGAAAGUCUUUCACCAUUUCCGCCUCCGAAGCAGCUUUCCAACGGCAGGUUUAUUGCAGGAGGAACCCGUCAGUGGCAGGAAGGAACUGACCAUGGCACCGAACAGAAUUUAUCAGAGAUUUCACGAGGAAAAAGUCCGCCCGUGAAAUUUUAAUGGGAUGUACAUGCAGCGGUGGGUGGACGUAAAAAAUUUCAAUUGAUUUACAUCAAAUUGAAUUUUGUACACACCCAGAUCUAAACGCUUAUCCGCUCUAUCUUGGAAUUUGGUACAAACAAAUGUCCUCUGAAACUUGUGGUUCGUGAAGAGGUUCAGAGAUGAUUGACUUUUAUGGGUAUUGUUUUAUCCUAACCAACCCUUCCGUCCCUAAAUAUUAAUCUCAAACAUUUUUGUGUGGUUGCUGCUCAAGCGAAUAUUUCAUUUGAAAGUCCCUUUAGCAACACGGAGAGGAAUUGAGAGCUGAGCUCCCUCUUUGUGCCUAACCAACUCCUUCUGCCACAGAAUCUUAUUAGCGAACCCCUCGAGGAGCAGCUCUCGUUUGUCUUGGGGAGAAAAACAAAGUUCUUGUACACUCAGCGAUAAUGGUUUAGUUACAUGCCUCAUUUUAUGAAGGGCAUUAUCUCUAAUACGUGUCAUUUCAGGACGACUGGAAUAUUCAUUUGUUUUGAUGGUGAUAAAUGAGUUGUAGAAAGUGACAAAGGUUUGCGAUCGCUUUGUUGAUCUAGCCACGUUCCAAAUCCGCUGAACUAAGAAAAAAAAAAAUCCGUCCAGUUUGAUGAGGAAAUAAAAAGAGCAUAACUUGAUGAGUAUCUAAAUGA